AGGGCCGCGGGGACCGGCGGCGGCGGCGCGAGCCGUGCCCUGACUGUCGAGAGCCGCAUGAGCGUGGCGCCCGCGUCACUCGGCGCCCCUGGGGACCCGGCCGCACAGCGCUCCCGUCCGAGAAAGGGGCGCACCCCAGCGCCCGAGGCCCGCGGAAGAGCGGCAAGCCCAGGCCAAGGCGCGGGGAAGGCUUCUCGAAUAUUCCUUUGCAGCCUGUAGUUUGGGGACUGAAGGUUCUGCACCCAGCGUGGAUACCAACGUGGGGUUUGAACUCACGACCCUGAGAUCAAGACCUGAGCUAAGAUCAAGAGUUGGAUGUUUAACUGACUGAGCCACCCAGGGGCCCCAGAUUGGUUAUCUUUCAUUUAUUUCUAUUCUUUUAGUAGCUUACCUAAACAAUGUCUGAGACUGUCCAUCGCCCUCUCCUCCUCCGGAGCAAGACGAAUUUUCUGGAAUGUUUAACCAGGAAUCCCUUCACUCUCAUCAUCCAUCAUACUGUUGCUGAUAUUUUAGUGUCACCUUGAUUUUAAGACUCCUCACUACUCAUUAUUAUUAAACAUGAUAUUGAUGGAAA
Molecule: long non-coding RNA, 574 nt
Organism: Ailuropoda melanoleuca (giant panda)
Lineage: Eukaryota; Metazoa; Chordata; Mammalia; Carnivora; Ursidae
Exons: 2
Source: RefSeq, a predicted model, not a curated record